AUGAACGCUGGCGGCGUGCCUAACACAUGCACGUCGAACGAAGCACCUUACCUGAUUCUUCGGAUGAAAGUUUGGUGACUGAGUGGCGGACGGGUGGGUAACGCGUGGGUAACCUGCCCUGUACAGGGGGAUAACAGCUGGAAACGGCUGCUAAUACCGCAUAAGCGCACGAGGAGACAUCUCCUUGUGUGAAAAACUCCGGUGGUACAGGAUGGGCCCGCGUCUGAUUAGCUGGUUGGCAGGGUAACGGCCUACCAAGGCAACGAUCAGUAGCCGGUCUGAGAGGAUGAACGGCCACAUUGGAACUGAGACACGGUCCAAACUCCCACGGGAGGCAGCAGUGGGGAAUAUUGCACAAUGGGGGAAACCCUGAUGCAGCAACGCCGCGUGAGUGAAGAAGUAUUUCGGUAUGUAAAGCUCUAUCAGCAGGGAAGAUAAUGACGGUACCUGACUAAGAAGCGCCGGCUAAAUACGUG
RNAcentral lists this ribosomal RNA (476 nucleotides) under uncultured bacterium. Its description in RNAcentral is "partial 16S ribosomal RNA". It matches the Rfam family "Bacterial small subunit ribosomal RNA", at positions 29 to 507 of the family's 1533-position model. The record is from RNAcentral.